Long non-coding RNA from Salvelinus sp. IW2-2015, 678 nucleotides. RefSeq lists it as uncharacterized. NCBI's taxonomy places the organism in Eukaryota, Metazoa, Chordata, Actinopteri, Salmoniformes, Salmonidae. The record is from RefSeq and is a predicted model, not a curated record.
CCCACUAGCCAAGAGUAWCAACGACCGGACAUUUACAGAGCUCUCGUCAGCCAAACAUAUGGCAAAAAUAUACGUUGUUCUUUCUUUUUAUGUGGUGUGCACUACAUUUUAAAAAUUCCGCCGAAAAAGAGAAGACGAUUUUCCGAAACAUUUUCGCCGUUAUCUCACGGCUUCCUCUUCUCUUUACAGGUGUAUAACUGCUACCCAGAAGGCCUAGGGGCGGCCCUUUACCGGGAGCGCUUUGACUUCAACGCUGAGCCGCCUUGGGAUCCCAGCUGAUAGCGGGACACGGCCAUCUACAGACUUGCCCAUGACCCACGGCUCAGUUGCGACUUUGACCUGACUACUACUUCUUUAUGAUUGUCUGCUGAAUACGGUUGAGAUGAAAGGACUCGCUGACGAACUAAACCACACGAUCGAACUCCUGGAGGGAGGAACCACCCUGGAAGAUGUCAUCGAUGGACACGUUUACGAACAAGCUCUGGCUGAAAAGAGUGUGUUUGUAGUGUCUGACCUUGGGUCCCUGAUGAGACAGCAUGUCCAAUGGCAGCUCACCAUGCCCCAGAUCAGGCCCUACUACCAGGUCCAGUCCAACAGCAGCCCGGUUGUCAUCGAGGUCCUGGCCUCUCUCGGCCUCGGCUUCGUCUGUGCUAACAAGGUGAGUGGUACCUUUUUUUA